AAGCAAGCAUAUCUUGCUGGAGCUCCCUGCGUACCUGAGGCCCUCUGAAGGUGGGAAAAACUGCCAAUUCACAAGGAGAAAUGUUGUCCCAGUGAUGUGCUGCAGUGCUGAGGAUGAAGCAGCUCAGGACCCACCUCUGGUUGACACCCCAUCCCAUGCACUUCACGGGGACAUUGCUGCACGCUGACAUCCUUAAUUUAUACCUGUCCACGUGACACUUCAUACGAAGCGUUUUCCAGCAUGGUCUAAUUACAAGGCACAAACUGGGAUGGUUUGAGGAAGAGGAUGAGCAAGUUCCUUCAGCCUCAUCAUGGCAGCACGAGCGUGUUGACAAGCUACGUGUGUUUCACCUGCUAUUAACUUGCUGCUCAAUGACAAGCGACUGUUUCUUCCAGAGCAAACGAAUGUUGUCCAGGUUGAAAUUAGCCUGGUUGUGGCCCCUGUCCAAAGCAAUGUUUGUGUUUAUACGUCUCUGAGUUUAGGGCAGCUGUUGCAAUGUGGCACUGUGGAUUGGGUCUGCAAAGGGAGGCUGCAUGAGGGAAGAGCAGGUGUGAAAUACCCAUUUUUGCUUUAUAAAAAUUUCCCUGUGGUCUCUACUUUGUCUGUAAGACCCACCUAGCACCUCCCAGUGAGGUCUACUGGGAAUCCCCUCAUGGCAGGGGGAGAGAGUUGGUUUGAGUGGGGGGGAAAAGUCCCUGAUCAUCACAGGGGAGUUGGACUAAAUGACCCUUAAGGGCCCCUUCCAGCUCAAAUGAUUCUAUGGUUCUGUGAAAUGAGAGGUGCCCAUGGCUCUGUGCCCUUAGGGUGCAGCAGAAAAGAGAAGUGAAGCCACAGCGAUGCAUCCCAGACUCCAUCCCCGCGCUUUUGCUACUGGAGGAGGAUAUGCAGACGCUGCUGCCCUGCAGCGUGGUCUGGAGGUUCUGCAGCUCCGUGUGUUUCUCGCCGUGUUUCCAUCCUGUCGAGCACUCAGAGCCUGCCCUGCACGCAUUUCGGAAGCGAAGGACUUUCCUAAUUACAGUGCGAACAAUCCGAGGUGGGCUCCUGUCUGUCUAACUGUCAGGGAGAAUAAGUCAGCGGCAUGCACUUUUGGUGUGUUUUGCAUCAGAUCCACCCAAAUUCAAACGAGCAGGGGAAGUUACUCUUCUGGACACCAACUUUUCACAGUGACUGUUUGCCACAGGCACAGUGAGGGUUUUCCUCUCCCGUUUCCAUGUUCCCUGGGGAUGCUGAGGAUGGGGAUGUGAUGUUCCCCAUUGCGAGGGGACAGCGGUGGCCUUGGACCUGCAGCCACCAGCCCAGCACCCAGCAGGGGAUGUGGUGUAGGGGAUCGCCGUCCUCCUUUAUCGUGGCACCUCUGGAGAGAAUGGCUUUGAAAGCGCUGCUUUGUUCAGCAGCUCCUCUGGACUGACUGGUCCUCAGUCAGCGUUGGAUGUCUGAGUAGAGACAUCAGAGCCUUCCUGAAGCUGUUAUAACUUAAUCUGGCAGGCCAGCCUGCUCUGGCACCUCUUGCCAAGAGAGGAAGCCAGAGCACUAGAUGAUUUUCAGACAUUAGUGACUGCCAUAAAUCAGAAAGCAGAAGUUAUCGAGUGCUCUGCUAAUGGACAUUUCCUUCCAGAGUAUCCCCUCUCGGGCUUUGCAGGGGCACAGAGGCUGCUCUCAGUGGGGGAAGCCAAGGGAGCUGUGCCAAGGUUGGGAAAUGUGCUGAGGAAAGAAGCUGCAAGGUGAGCACCAGGCCUCAAAUCUGCUGCUGCUGCUGCUUCUCUCUGUGGGGGCCCAGACCCCCCCACCAGCCCCAUAUGGAUAGCCAUGCUUUGAGAGCUGUGCAAAUCCCAAGCCAUCAAAGAGAAGGCAUCAUUGGAGGCCAACUUGCUAAUGACUUAAAAUGCAGAAGGGAGAUUUUAGCCAAGCUGAGCGCUGGGCAGGUUUAAACUGCGUGGAAGUAGUGGAUGUUUUGGUGCUGAGAUGGCACUGCUCCGUGCUGUGCUUCCUGGCUCCUUGGGAAGGGGCAGAGCCCCGAGCCCUUUGCCUUCAAUGCCGAUUCCCAAUCAAGGCGAUGCACUCCUCGAGGAGCAGCAGACUGUUUAAUAUUUAAACCCGAACAGCCCAGGCAAAGCUGCUUUUCUUUUUUAUUUAUUCUUUUAAUUAAAUGCCAAUUAGAAAGGAAGAGAGGGGGGGGAGAAAAAAAGGCAUUAAACACUUAAAUACACACUACACCCAGGUUGCUCAAAGUUGUUAUGAGCUAAUUAGCUACUUAAGUGAUCAUUUGAAAUUCUAUAUCAAACAAUUCAUAAUCUGCCCCAAAACCGAAGGCUCAAUGAGCAUCGAGGGGCAGUGCCUGCCCUAUGGCUGCUACCUGUGGGAUUGGAGUUCCCACCUGCACGUUCAUGGGAUCUUUGUGCAGAUGGGGCUGGGCAAGAAGCAGAGUUUUCUGCCCAGAGCUGCAACCUGAACAAGGUCACUGUGAGGAGUUCUGUUGGUGCUUUUUCUCUUGUCUCCAUGUUUGGAGGUUGCAAGUUCCUUGCUGCAUGGCCCUUCUGAUUCUCCUGGCUUCAAAGUACUAUUAUCUGCAGCCUCUAUGAUCUGAAGGUGUUCAAGGACCUUGUAGAUGGGACACUGAGGGACAUGGGAUGGUGGGGGUGGGUGGAUGACUUGCUGUUCUUAGAAGUCUUUUCCAGCCUUAAUGAUUCUACAACAAGCUGGUGCUAUCCAACUCAUGUCAUUUCAACACUAAAUGAGUUCCGGGGGAAGCAUGAUGGUGAAAUUCCCCACUCACCAAGAAAGGGUUUCAGCCCUUCUGCGCACAUUAUCAGGGCUGGAAAAUCUUCCUCCACAUUUCCUUCUGUGGAAAGUGCUGCCCCAUUGAUUAAACCCUGUGCAUGUGUCUAUCUACAUCCAACUGAACCCUGCACAUCUGCCCCCAGCACCACUCUGUGAGCUCAGGGUUAUGAGGGCAGACUGGGGAGCCCCAUCCAUAACCCAUAACACCGCCGCGCCUAACGAACAAUGCAUUAAUUAGAGGCAGCAAUUCAACCUCCACCGUAAUCAAUUCCAGCAGCGCCUGCUCUGCCUGCACAUCCGACAGCCUCUUCCACUCCCCUCUGCAAGAUUUAUUAAUUAUCAAUGCUGGCUCCGGCGUGGCAUGCAGAGGAGAGCAGGAGCGAGGAGGUGGUAUCGGCGGCGGAGAUCUGAGAGACGUCUGAAGGGGAUUGGCAUGUGCAGGAGACAGCCUGCCUCCUGGGGACUCGCCCGGUGAUCUUUUUUCCUCCCUUCCUCCUGCUUUUCUUUUAAUUAGUGGAGUUGGUGCGAUGCUCUGCUUGGACAGCAGAGAGGAGGGUGCGCGGCAGCAGGCAGGGGCUGGUGGGUGUGUGCAGCAUCCCCUGCUCCCUGUAUCCCAUCCCCUCACCCAGGGCAAUGCUUCAUGCCUGGGGCAGGCCCAAACCCGCUGCCCCAGAAGCUGGCUCUUUGCAGACCCUCCCCAUCCACCCGUAAACUGCAGCCCUGCCAACUAGUAAGCUCUGGUCUUUCCAUCUAUGGGUGAAGUGUAGUGAUUUCCAAGCCUGCCAGCAGAUGCCAAUGGAUGACCUUGUGAUUUUAUUGAUCUCUUCUUUCCCACUGGUGCUGGGGAAGCCAUGUUUCCAAGCCUGCCAGUGGCAGCUGGAGGAGGUGGGUUGGUGUGGGAUUGGAGGGCUGGGGGCAGCUCUGCCCUUCAGGCUCGUAGCCCAUACUGUAC
Meleagris gallopavo (turkey) is the source of this 3730-nucleotide non-coding RNA. The record is from RefSeq and is a predicted model, not a curated record. NCBI's taxonomy places the organism in Eukaryota, Metazoa, Chordata, Aves, Galliformes, Phasianidae.